CGUUGAAACACUGGUUUCCGUAUGAUACUGAAGUUAAGCUAUAUCGAGCCUGGUCAGUACUUAGAUGGGUGACUGCUUGGGAAUAUCAGAUGCUGUAAG
Molecule: non-coding RNA, 99 nt
Organism: Acanthosepion pharaonis
Lineage: Eukaryota; Metazoa; Mollusca; Cephalopoda; Sepiida; Sepiidae
Source: the annotation of a GenBank genome assembly